UAGACCACCGAAAGACAACCUAGCAAAGAUCACUUCUCUUGGGCAAAGUACGCAAGGACGAGUAGCUCCGAUUACGAAACACAACACAAGUUGGCAUAACCCAAGUCAAGAUGAUAACUCGGUCAUCCAGUUCUUGCUUGUGUUAGCUUCUUUCUUUGGAUCAAUGAGGACUUUCUGGGGUCCUGAAGAGCAGGUUUCUGAUGAGGAAAACACUAUUUUAGAUCAGGAAUUCACUGAAGAAGAGGUGAAAACUGUUGUUUUCCAGUCUUAUCCUGACCCAGAUGGUUUUCCUUUUCUGUUUUACCAAAAGUUCUGGGAAACUAUUAAGGAGGAUUUGAUGGCUCCAUUUAGAGAUUUUGACCAGAAUCAAGCAUACCUGUUCAGGUUGAAUUUUGCCAUGCUUACCCUUAUCCCAAAAGAAACUCAUGCCACUUCCCUUAAGAAGUACAGGCCUAUAGCCCUAUGGCUCCAGCGCGCACACACACACAUCCCUUCCGAAACUCUCUCCCGAAACACUCUCCUAGAUCAGCCCCUCCCUUGCCGCCACCAGGGCGCGCCACCAGGCAAAGCCCGCGCGGCCACUGCGGUGGCAGGGCUCUCAUUCACGUUUUUGCUCGGCGAGUCGUCAAGUGCCUCCAUGGCUGCGCUCGGUGGUGGUUGACGAGGCGGCUGUCUCCGUGGUGUUCCCCGGUGGCGACAGCCCUGGCCUCGGCUCGCGGUGUGGUUGCCCUGGCGGUUGGCAACGGCGCUCUUGCGGCCUGUUGGCUGGGCCUGGGCGAUCUGCCUUUCACGGCACGUCCACAGGCAGCAUGGUGGGGUCUGCGCUGCAGAGUGCGGCCACUGAUGGAUCCUCUUCUCCUCGUUGGAUCUGGCCAGUCGAAGACCUUCGUCGACUCUUGAGAAGGUGAGGUGUCGGUGGUGCGGUUUGCUACACGAAGGCGGUGGUGUCUAUAGACAUCUUUCCCUUCUGAGGCGUUAUCAAGAAGUGAUCUACAUUUUGGUCGUGUGCUUUGGUCUAGUCUAGGGGUGAUUUGGCACGGGCUGCUGUGCUUGUUAAAGCGCUGGAAAAUUUUGUGCCCAAGAAGAACCUAUCUACGCUGAAGAACUACUUGCUGCUCUUGGAGAACAAGGUGUCGGAGGCUCCCCGAAUCCUGCUCUGAUGAAGAAAAGGAAGAUUCUACUCGCAGGGCCUGAAACUCCUCAUGCUUAGUGCGCACGGCGUGCAUUGUCCUGAAUGGCUGAUGGUGUUUGCCUGUAAUGUGGUGUGUGCAUGUAAUGGCUGAAUGUUCUGCUCGUUGAUGUUGGUUCUAGGCACCCGAUAGGGUGUAUCCUGUUUACUUUUCAGUUUUCCGCAUCUAUUGUAAGACAGUGUUGUUUCAUUUUCAAUGAGAAUGGAACAGCGCGUGGGCCUUUGGCUCUGAAAAAAAAACUCUUCCUUUGUUUCUAGCA
Long non-coding RNA from Brachypodium distachyon (stiff brome), 1449 nucleotides. RefSeq lists it as uncharacterized. The transcript is spliced from 2 exons. The record is from RefSeq and is a predicted model, not a curated record. NCBI's taxonomy places the organism in Eukaryota, Viridiplantae, Streptophyta, Magnoliopsida, Poales, Poaceae.